Molecule: ribosomal RNA, 394 nt
Filed under: Escherichia coli
Lineage: Bacteria; Pseudomonadati; Pseudomonadota; Gammaproteobacteria; Enterobacterales; Enterobacteriaceae
Description: bacterial SSU rRNA
Rfam family: Bacterial small subunit ribosomal RNA
Source: RNAcentral
AAAUUGAAGAGUUUGAUCAUGGCUCAGAUUGAACGCUGGCGGCAGGCCUAACACAUGCAAGUCGAACGGUAACAGAAAGCAGCUUGCUGCUUUGCUGACGAGUGGCGGACGGGUGAGUAAUGUCUGGGAAACUGCCCGAUGGAGGGGGAUAACUACUGGAAACGGUAGCUAAUACCGCAUAACGUCGCAAGACCAAAGAGGGGGACCUUCGGGCCUCUUGCCAUCGGAUGUGCCCAGAUGGGAUUAGCUAGUAGGUGGGGUAAAGGCUCACCUAGGCGACGAUCCCUAGCUGGUCUGAGAGGAUGACCAGCCACACUGGAACUGAGACACGGUCCAGACUCCUACGGGAGGCAGCAGUGGGGAAUAUUGCACAAUGGGCGCAAGCCUGAUGCAG